Molecule: ribosomal RNA, 442 nt
Filed under: uncultured bacterium
Lineage: Bacteria
Description: partial 16S ribosomal RNA
Rfam family: Bacterial small subunit ribosomal RNA
Source: RNAcentral
CCUACGGGUGGCAGCAGUGGGGGAUAUUGGACAAUGGGGGAAACCCUGAUCCAGCGACGCCGCGUGAGUGAAGAAGUAUUUCGGUAUGUAAAGCUCUGUCAGCAGGGAAGAAAGAAAUGACGGUACCUGACCAAGAAGCCACGGCUAACUACGUGCCAGCAGCCGCGGUAAUACGUAGGUGGCAAGCGUUGUCCGGAAUUACUGGGUGUAAAGGGAGCGUAGGCGGGAAAGCAAGUUGAAUGUUUAAGGUACGGGCUCAACCUGUACAAGCGUUCAAAACUGUUUUUCUUGAGUGGAGUAGAGGUAAGCGGAAUUCCUAGUGUAGCGGUGAAAUGCGUAAAUAUUAGGAGGAACACCAGUGGCGAAGGCGGCUUACUGGGCUUUAACUGACGCUGAGGCUCGAAAGCGUGGGUAGCAAACAGGAUUAGAUACCCUGGUAGUC